UCUCCGUUGGUGAACCAGCGGAGGGAUCAUUACCGAGUUUACAACUCCCAAACCCCAUGUGAACCUUACCAAACGUUGCUUCGGCGGGAUGCCCCGGGCGCGGGCCGCAAGGCCUCAGCCCCGGAACCAGGCGCCCGCCGGAGGCCCAAACCAAACUCUUGUUUUUGUAGAGUCUUCUGAGUGGCCUUUUAGGCAAAAAAUGAAUCAAAACUUUCAACAACGGAUCUCUUGGUUCUG
RNAcentral lists this unclassified non-coding RNA (237 nucleotides) under plant metagenome. RNAcentral describes it as "partial contains small subunit ribosomal RNA, internal transcribed spacer 1, and 5.8S ribosomal RNA". The record is from RNAcentral.